This 565-nucleotide ribosomal RNA is filed under the name uncultured archaeon. RNAcentral's name for it is "bacterial SSU rRNA". It matches the Rfam family "Archaeal small subunit ribosomal RNA", at positions 328 to 897 of the family's 1478-position model. The record is from RNAcentral.
GGGUGCACCAGGCGCGAAAACUUUACAAUGCCGGCAACGGCGAUAAGGGAACCUCGAGUGCCAGGUUACAAAUCUGGCUGUCGUGAUGCCUAAAAAGCAUUGCAUAGCAAGGGCCGGGCAAGACCGGUGCCAGCCGCCGCGGUAACACCGGCGGCUCGAGUGGUAACCGUUAUUAUUGGGUCUAAAGGGUCUGUAGCCGGCCGGGUAAGUCUCUUGGGAAAUCUGGCAGCUUAACUGUCAGGCUUUCAGGAGAUACUGCCUGGCUCGAGGCCGGGAGAGGUGAGAGGUACUUCAGGGGUAGGGGUGAAAUCUUGUAAUCCUUGAAGGACCACCAGUGGCGAAGGCGUCUCACCAGAACGGACCUGACGGCAAGGGACGAAAGCUAGGGGCACGAACCGGAUUAGAUACCCGGGUAGUCCUAGCCGUAAACGAUACUCGCUAGGUGUCGGCCACGGUGCGACCGUGGUCGGUGCCGUAGGGAAGCCGUGAAGCGAGCCACCUGGGAAGUACGGCCGCAAGGCUGAAACUUAAAGGAAUUGGCGGGGGAGCACAAGGGCGAAUCGCG